This 258-nucleotide ribosomal RNA is filed under the name uncultured Glomus. RNAcentral describes it as "partial 18S ribosomal RNA". It matches the Rfam family "Eukaryotic small subunit ribosomal RNA", at positions 624 to 886 of the family's 1831-position model. Lineage: Eukaryota; Fungi; Glomeromycota; Glomeromycetes; Glomerales; Glomeraceae. The record is from RNAcentral.
AAGCUCGUAGUUGAAUUUCGGGAUCAAUGCGUCGGUCGUGCCUUCGGUACGUACUAGCGUCAUUGAUUCCUCCCUUCUGAAGAACCGUGAUGUCAUUAAUUUGGUGUUACGGGGAAUCAGGACUGUUACCUUGAAAAAAUUAGAGUGUUUAAAGCAGGCUAACGCUUGAAUACAUUAGCAUGGAAUAAUGAAAUAGGACGUUUGAUUCUAUUUUGUUGGUUUCUAGGAUCGACGUAAUGAUUAAUAGGGAUAGUUGGG